Triticum aestivum (bread wheat) is the source of this 636-nucleotide long non-coding RNA. RefSeq lists it as uncharacterized. The transcript is spliced from 3 exons. The record is from RefSeq and is a predicted model, not a curated record. Lineage: Eukaryota; Viridiplantae; Streptophyta; Magnoliopsida; Poales; Poaceae.
UAGCGUAUGCCGAGGAAAAUAAUGUGGCUUUCUUGCGGACAGUUUCCGGUAUCUUCAUGGUCCAGCUUGAGUCAUUGCAGUUCAGUAAACUUCCUGAAAACAACAACUGUGCUAUCUGUUAUCCAUUAGAAAGUGUCUAUGCUGCAGAAACAAGCAUUGGUGGUGGACAUGGUGGAGCUGAUCAAGAUAUGAUAGUAUGAUGUACUGGUUGAGCAGGAAAGCUUAUCUUCUGAAUGUAUGCCGAGGAAAGGCUUGGAUAAGAUUGCUAAGGCUUGGAGUACGAAAUAAACAUGCCACUUUGAGAUAUGCAAAAUUUCACACAAGUGGUGCGCCGACACGCGAAACUCAUUUUAUUGAUUGCUUCGGCAAUCACUGCCAUUCAACAUCAUAUGAUCCCAUGAUCUACAUGUUCAGAUCUUUAUUUUGAAGGUCACUUGGCGUUAGUUAUUGCCCCACCUCUUAUUGCACUCAGCUAUACAAUCCGCAACACUUUAUGCAUCUGCAAAAUAGCCAAGACGAGCACAAGAUCCUCAGACCAGAUGGUGAUCCUUCUGUGUAACAAUAGAAAAAAGAGAGCAUAUUGCCUCGAUGUUCAGGAAAAUUCAUCUACAAACAGAGCAAAUGCAAUGCAAUUAU